RNAcentral lists this long non-coding RNA (308 nucleotides) under Jatropha curcas. RNAcentral's name for it is "long non-coding RNA (JCUR_LNC002143)". The record is from RNAcentral. Lineage: Eukaryota; Viridiplantae; Streptophyta; Magnoliopsida; Malpighiales; Euphorbiaceae.
GAAUUCAUUUUCUUUCUGGACCAAAAUAAUAUUUAUUCCCGGACCGAUGAUACUAUUCACAAACCGGUAACUUACUAUUUUAGACACAGAAAAAUGGGGCGUUACAUUAUUGCCUUGAGAAUUGUGAAUUUUGUGGUAGUACUGAAAAUAGUGAUUUUAAGAAAAUUGUGAUUUUGUAGAAUUCUGAAUUGUCUGAAGUAUCUGAGAUACCUGUAUGAUGUGAGACAACAUUGAAAUAUACUUUAGCAAUAUUUUUCCAUCAGUGCUAUCUAAAUAUUUAUCUGUUAUAUGAUUGAUAUCAUAUCGAA